CCUGUGUCGCACGGGCCAGUCAACCUCUGCCGACGAAUUCCGAGCGGGUGGCAUGCGCUGAGAAAUCAUGCGGCGGUUCCAAAAGUCGCAUGUUCUUGUCUCCAAGCUCCACUUGUGUUCGACCGAAGGAAGACGCCGAGGACGCAAUGAAGAACUUUCUGGAUAUCUUUAGAGGGAUCUUCUGAGUUGGUCAAUUGAUUUUGAAACGUCUGAUCGCGGUGUUCUAGUAAAAUUGCGUCACUUAUAUUCUUUACGGAUGAUCACAACAGUAAUUUCCGUGCCUGCAACACAACUUGUAUAUCUUCUUGGUUCUUUCGGUAAAGUCACGUAGAAGGGAAGUAGUAAAAUAAUAAAAAUAAAACAUAAUAAAACAAUUCUCACGACGUUU
Molecule: long non-coding RNA, 388 nt
Organism: Lethenteron reissneri (Far Eastern brook lamprey)
Lineage: Eukaryota; Metazoa; Chordata; Hyperoartia; Petromyzontiformes; Petromyzontidae
Source: RefSeq, a predicted model, not a curated record